GCGGCGGGCAUGGCCCCGGUGUCGAGGGGAGAACCUACCGUGAGGCCUGGGUGCUUCUGACGGCAUGAAGUCAUGGGCAGAUGGACAGUGGCUGGGGGGCUUUGGGGGAAAAGGAGUUGAAGGCAGUUCUUUCUCGUAGUUUGGAGCUUGCUGGCUCUGCGAACCCUGUGGAUAUACUUGUGCUGUAAUCUACAACAGUGCUUUCUUCGAAAGGAGGGAGUCGUUUUGGUGGGCUGGAGGCAGCUGGAAAAAUCGGUACCCGUCUUGUUUUAUGUGCUGCGACUCAAAGGCUCUUCUGCUUUAUUCACCCUUAAUAUACAUGGAAGAGUCUCUAAAGUGAAUCUCUAUCGGAAAGACAAAGAUCUGAAAGAAGUUUUGCUUUUGUACUACAUUCAAGGUGUAGUUCGACACGUAUUGUGAUACUUGCAUAGUGACAAAACUAAUACAGUUUUUACUCAAUAGAAAUAUCCGAAAGUUCAGCGUUGAAAUAUAUGUUGCAAAUUGAGAGUUUAAACUGUAUUGAUCAAAAGUGAAUCCAAGUAAUUUGUUGUGGAACUGAAGGUGCAGUAUGAAUUGGACAAAACUUUUGAGUAUUUAGGCUUGAAAGUUGCCAAAUGGCUGCUCUGUGCCAAGUACUCCUCUGUUUAGAUGACAAGUGAAGCAGUUCAGAUAGCCUCAAUGCAGACACCUGAAAAAGAUACCAUGUGUCCAGGCAACGAUACUGGAGCCUGCUGCCAGAAAAAAAGGUAAUGGAAAUUUGCUUCACUCUGCAGUUCCUAGACAUAGUAAUUUUUUUGAUUAGACUUCAGGCUUUUU
Molecule: long non-coding RNA, 816 nt
Filed under: Manacus vitellinus (golden-collared manakin)
Lineage: Eukaryota; Metazoa; Chordata; Aves; Passeriformes; Pipridae
Description: lncRNA (ENSMVIG00005005665.1)
Source: RNAcentral